This 398-nucleotide ribosomal RNA is filed under the name uncultured bacterium. Its description in RNAcentral is "bacterial SSU rRNA". It matches the Rfam family "Bacterial small subunit ribosomal RNA", at positions 446 to 842 of the family's 1533-position model. The record is from RNAcentral.
GCAAAGUGCCGCACGUGUGCGGUUUGGAGAGUACCCGGAGAAAAAGCAUCGGCUAACUCCGUGCCAGCAGCCGCGGUAAUACGGAGGAUGCGAGCGUUAUCCGGAUUUAUUGGGUUUAAAGGGUGCGUAGGCGGACGCUUAAGUCAGCGGUAAAAUUGCGGGGCUCAACCUCGUCGAGCCGUUGAAACUGGGUGCCUUGAGUGGGCGAGAAGUACGCGGAAUGCGUGGUGUAGCGGUGAAAUGCAUAGAUAUCACGCAGAACUCCGAUUGCGAAGGCAGCGUACCGGCGCCCAACUGACGCUGAAGCACGAAGGCGUGGGUAUCGAACAGGAUUAGAUACCCCGGUAGUCCACGCAGUAAACGAUGAAUGCUAGUUGUCCGGGGCGAUUGAGUUCUGG